GAGAAUGCCGGUGUGAGUAGCGAAAGACGGGUGAGAAUCCCGUCCACCGAUUGACUAAGGUUUCCAGAGGAAGGCUCGUCCGCUCUGGGUUAGUCGGGUCCUAAGCUGAGGCCGACAGGCGUAGGCGAUGGAUAACAGGUUGAUAUUCCUGUACCACCUAUAAUCGUUUUAAUCGAUGGGGGGACGCAGUAGGAUAGGCGAAGCGUGCGAUUGGAUUGCACGUCUAAGCAGUAAGGCUGAGUAUUAGGCAAAUCCGGUACUCAUUAAGGCUGAGCUGUGAUGGGGAGAAGACAUUGUGUCUUCGAGUCGUUGAUUUCACACUGCCGAGAAAAGCCUCUAGAUAGAAAAUAGGUGCCCGUACCGCAAACCGACACAGGUAGUCAAGAUGAGAAUUCUAAGGUGAGCGAGCGAACUCUCGUUAAGGAACUCGGCAAAAUGACCCCGUAACUUCGGGAGAAGGGGUGCUCUUUAGGGUUAACGCCCAGAAGAGCCGCAGUGAAUAGGCCCAAGCGACUGUUUAUCAAAAACACAGGUCUCUGCUAAACCGUAAGG
RNAcentral lists this ribosomal RNA (552 nucleotides) under Staphylococcus aureus. Its description in RNAcentral is "partial 23S ribosomal RNA". It matches the Rfam family "Bacterial large subunit ribosomal RNA", at positions 1290 to 1838 of the family's 2925-position model. Lineage: Bacteria; Bacillati; Bacillota; Bacilli; Caryophanales; Staphylococcaceae. The record is from RNAcentral.